This 460-nucleotide ribosomal RNA is filed under the name uncultured bacterium. RNAcentral's name for it is "partial 16S ribosomal RNA". It matches the Rfam family "Bacterial small subunit ribosomal RNA", at positions 338 to 795 of the family's 1533-position model. The record is from RNAcentral.
CCUACGGGUGGCAGCAGUGAGGAAUAUUGGUCAAUGGGCGCGAGCCUGAACCAGCCAAGCCGCGUGAGGGAUGAAGGUUCUAUGGAUUGUAAACCUCUUUUAUAAGGGAAUAAAGUGUGGGAAGAGUCCUAUUUUGUAUGUACCUUAUGAAUAAGGAUCGGCUAACUCCGUGCCAGCAGCCGCGGUAAUACGGAGGAUCCGAGCGUUAUACGGAUUUAUUGGGUUUAAAGGGUGCGUAGGCUGCCUUUUAAGUCAGCGGGGAAAGUCUGUGGCUCCACCAUAGAAUUGCCGUUGAAACUGGGGGGCUUGAGUAUGUGUGAGGCAGGCGGAAUGCGUGGUGUAGCGGUGAAAUGCUUAGAUAUCACGCAGAACCCCGAUUGCGAAGGCAGCCUGCCAGGCCAUGACUGACGCUGAUGCACGAAAGCGUGGGGAUCAAACAGGAUUAGAUACCCUAGUAGUC